Molecule: non-coding RNA, 390 nt
Organism: Mustela erminea (ermine)
Lineage: Eukaryota; Metazoa; Chordata; Mammalia; Carnivora; Mustelidae
Source: the annotation of a RefSeq genome assembly
UCUGGGCACAUCCAUAUGGCCUGGAGCCCUCUCUCACUCCUCGUCCUCACUUUCUGCACAGGCUCUGUGACCUCCAGUGAGCUGACUCAGCCUCCCUCAGUGUCAGUUGCCCUGGGUCAGACCGCUACAAUCACCUGCACUGGAGAGGAAGUAGAAUAUGUUUAUGUCUACUGGUACCAGCAGAAGCCAGGCCAAGCCCCUCUGACGGUCAUUUACGAUGAUAGUGAUCGGCCUUCAGGGAUCCCAGGGCGAUUCUCUGGCUCCAAGUCAGGGAACACGGCCACCCUGACCAUCAGCAGGACACAGGCCGAGGACGAGGCUGACUAUUACUGUCAGUCCUUGACAGCAGUGGUAUAGUGUUCGGCGGCGGGACCCAGCUGACCGUCCUCG